CCAGGUGAUCUACCCAUGUCCAGGGUGAAGUUCAGGUAACACUGAAUGGAGGCCCGAACCCACGCACGUUGAAAAGUGCGGGGAUGAGGUGUGGGUAGCGGAGAAAUUCCAAUCGAACCUGGAGAUAGCUGGUUCUCCCCGAAAUAGCUUUAGGGCUAGCCUUAAGUGUAAGAGUCUUGGAGGUAGAGCACUGAUUGAACUAGGGGUCCUCAUCGGAUUACCGAAUUCAGUCAAACUCCGAAUGCCAAUGACUUAUCCUUAGGAGUCAGACUGCGAGUGAUAAGAUCCGUAGUCAAGAGGGAAACAGCCCAGAUCGCCAGCUAAGGUCCCAAAGUGUGUAUUAAGUGGAAAAGGAUGUGGAGUUGCUUAGACAACUAGGAUGUUGGCUCAGAAGCAGCCACCAUUUAAAGAGUGCGUAAUAGCUCACUAGUCGAGUGACUCUGCGCCGAAAAUGUACCGGGGCUAAAUACACCACCGAAGCUGCGAAUUGAUACCAAUGGUAUCAGUGGUAG
Molecule: ribosomal RNA, 512 nt
Filed under: Bacillus cereus
Lineage: Bacteria; Bacillati; Bacillota; Bacilli; Caryophanales; Bacillaceae
Description: partial 23S ribosomal RNA
Rfam family: Bacterial large subunit ribosomal RNA
Source: RNAcentral